UCUCAUGGCACUUUCUAGGGGAGCCAAUGUUGAAAAGUUGCUUGUAUUUUCUCACAAAUGCCAUCUUGCAGCUUCCAUCAGGGACAGAAAUUAAGCAAAACCAUUACAUGACCAAGGACAAGCCGUGGUGUUUCAGCCUGACAGGUUUUGGAUUUUUGCCACUGAAACUGAAGAGGACCAGAUCUCAGCCAUUUGACUUCUGAGCAAUCUACCUUAAGAUUACCAUCGUUCCCUUCUCAAUUCCAGUGCAGAUGAUAAACAUCUCUCAAAUCAACACCAGAUACUUCCCUUAAAUCAUACAUAAAUUAAGUUAUUGCAAGGAGUAUGCUUUCUCCCCAAAACACUGAAUUUACUUUCUUUUUUUCUUUUCUUUCUUCCUAAUCUUUUUCUUUCAUGUUCCCAAACCAACUGGCUGAGGUGUCCCCAUGGGCUAUUGAUGGCAUUAAAGUGGACUGUUCAGCAGCUGUGCCCUACUGCCUGCCCUAUUGAUUAGUUUCUCACAUGGCUCUUAAUAGGUUUAUUGAUAUUUUGGAUUCAUUUUGUCCUGAUUUUUGUCAAUCUUCACAUUUUCACAGUCAGGUUCCAUUUUGCUUGAGGAAUGUAUGCAAUUAAUCUAGCUUUUAAAAGGCAUGAUCUUUCACUAAUGAUUUAUUCAGUGAAUUUGUCUACCCAUUUCUUUGCCUUUUCUACUCUUUCUUUGUUUUGAGGUUUUUUUGGCUCUCAUUUUGUUUUGGUUCAUGUAUUUAGAUAAGAUCUGUGUAUUAUCUGCUGUUUUAUGCAAACAAUCUCCAAAUCAAUUUUAAAUCUUUUUGUGCACCCCAGUCUGCCAUUAUUGUCAGACCAUGUUUUAAAACUAUUUUUAUAUUUGCAAUACAUUUUAACAUCCAUAAAUUUUGAAAUCCUUCACUGGUAUUAACUGGCAUAGGAUGAAUGUUGUUGCAAGGUAGCAGUGCUUUACUUCAGACAAAAAUUUGUUUCUUUGCCUUUAGGAAGAAAGGCUAGUAAACAAAUGCAUUCAAGUCUGAGCUGUUACUCAUUUAAGUCUUACUGUAGAGUAGAAAACAGGUCCAAUGAAAAUAUUUGUCCCUAAGAUUUCAGGGACUAUGGAAAUUGUGCAGCUUCUGGAACCUCUUCAAAAGACAGAGUACUAAGUGGGUUUACUGACUGCUGACAAAUAUUAUGCCACCAAAUAUUCCAAGUUUC
Molecule: long non-coding RNA, 1203 nt
Filed under: Cyanistes caeruleus (blue tit)
Lineage: Eukaryota; Metazoa; Chordata; Aves; Passeriformes; Paridae
Description: lncRNA (ENSCCEG00000021913.1)
Source: RNAcentral